CGGAUAAAAGGUACUCCGGGGAUAACAGGCUGAUACCGCCCAAGAGUUCAUAUCGACGGCGGUGUUUGGCACCUCGAUGUCGGCUCAUCACAUCCUGGGGCUGAAGUAGGUCCCAAGGGUAUGGCUGUUCGCCAUUUAAAGUGGUACGCGAGCUGGGUUUAGAACGUCGUGAGACAGUUCGGUCCCUAUCUGCCGUGGGCGCUGGAGAAUUGAGGGGGGGCUGCUCCUAGUACGAGAGGACCGGAGUGGACGCAUCACUGGUGUUCGGGUUGUCAUGCCAAUGGCAUGCCCGGUAGCUAAAUGCGGAAGAGAUAAGUGCUGAAAGCAUCUAAGCACGAAACUUGCCCCGAGAUGAGUUCUCCCUGAGACUUUAAGUCUCCUGAAGGAACGUUGAAGACGACGACGUUGAUAGGCCGGGUGUGUAAGCGCAGCGAUGCGUUGAGCUAACCGGUACUAAUGAACCGUGAGGCUUAACCUUACAACGCCGAAG
RNAcentral lists this ribosomal RNA (490 nucleotides) under Klebsiella pneumoniae. Its description in RNAcentral is "bacterial LSU rRNA". It matches the Rfam family "Bacterial large subunit ribosomal RNA", at positions 2453 to 2925 of the family's 2925-position model. Lineage: Bacteria; Pseudomonadati; Pseudomonadota; Gammaproteobacteria; Enterobacterales; Enterobacteriaceae. The record is from RNAcentral.